This 445-nucleotide ribosomal RNA is filed under the name uncultured bacterium. RNAcentral's name for it is "bacterial SSU rRNA". It matches the Rfam family "Bacterial small subunit ribosomal RNA", at positions 354 to 796 of the family's 1533-position model. The record is from RNAcentral.
GUGAGGAAUAUUGGGCAAUGGGCGCAAGCCUGACCCAGCCAUGCCGCGUGAAGGAUGAAUGCCCUAUGGGUUGUAAACUUCUUUUGUACGGGACGAAACUCCUGGUCGUGACCGGGAUUGACUGUACCGUGCGAAUAAGCAUCGGCUAACUCCGUGCCAGCAGCCGCGGUAAUACGGAGGAUGCAAGCGUUAUCCGGAUUCAUUGGGUUUAAAGGGUGCGUAGGCGGAAUAAUAAGUCAGUGGUGAAAGCCUGCGGCUUAACCGUAGAAUUGCCAUUGAUACUGUUAUUCUUGAGUAUAGUUGAGGUGGGCGGAAUGUGUAAUGUAGCGGUGAAAUGCUUAGAUAUUACACAGAACACCAAUUGCGAAGGCAGCUCACUAAGCUGUUACUGACGCUGAGGCACGAAAGCGUGGGGAGCAAACAGGAUUAGAAACCCGUGUAGUCC